UACGUAGGGGGCAAGCGUUGUCCGGAUUUAUUGGGCGUAAAGAGCGUGUAGGCGGCCAGGUAGGUCCGUUGUGAAAACUGGAGGCUUAACCUCCAGCUGUCGAUGGAAACCAUCUGGCUAGAGUCCGGAAGAGGAGAGUGGAAUUCCUGGUGUAGCGGUGAAAUGCGCAGAUAUCAGGAAGAACACCAGUGGCGAAGGCGGCUCACUGGCCCGUUACCGACGCUCAGGCGCGACAGCGUGGGGAGCAAACAGG
Molecule: ribosomal RNA, 253 nt
Filed under: uncultured bacterium
Lineage: Bacteria
Description: partial 16S ribosomal RNA
Rfam family: Bacterial small subunit ribosomal RNA
Source: RNAcentral